UGGAUAGAGGUUGCAUUUUUUAUGAGUAGGAUGAAGGAUGUAUCAGGAACAGAUGAAUUCAUCCGAAAGGAAAGGAUGCCGAAAGGAGGAGGGGCCUGAACCCUUGUUCUUGGGCAUGGCGUGAAAAAUGCCAUGACUGUCAUCGCAGGAUGGAGAGCUAUCUGA
Molecule: non-coding RNA, 165 nt
Filed under: uncultured Mediterraneibacter sp.
Lineage: Bacteria; Bacillati; Bacillota; Clostridia; Lachnospirales; Lachnospiraceae
Description: Lysine riboswitch
Rfam family: Lysine riboswitch aptamer
About the family: Riboswitches are metabolite binding domains within certain messenger RNAs that serve as precision sensors for their corresponding targets. Allosteric rearrangement of mRNA structure is mediated by ligand binding, and this results in modulation of gene expression. This family includes riboswitches that sense lysine in a number of genes involved in lysine metabolism, including lysC.
Source: RNAcentral